AAUAUUGGACAAUGGGCGAAAGCCUGAUCCAGCCAUGCCGCGUGUGUGAAGAAGGUCUUCGGAUUGUCAAGCACUUUAAGUUGGGAGGAAGGGCAGUAAGUUAAUACCUUGCUGUUUUGACGUUACCGACAGUAUAAGCACCGGCUAACUUAGUGCCAGCAGCCGCGGUAAUACGAAGGGUUCAAGCGUUAAUCGGAAUUACUGGGCGUAAAGCGGCGGUAGGUGGUUUGUCAAGUUGGAUGUGAAAGCCCCGGGCUCAACCUGGGAACUGUUUUCAAAACUGGCAAGCUAGGGUAUGGCAGAGGGUGGUGGAAUUUCCUGUGUAGCGGUGAAAUGCGUAGAUAUAGGAAGGAACAUCAGUGGCGAAGGCGACCACCUGGGCUAAUACUGACACUGAGGUGCGAAAGCGUGGGGAGCAAAC
RNAcentral lists this ribosomal RNA (421 nucleotides) under uncultured bacterium. RNAcentral's name for it is "partial 16S ribosomal RNA". It matches the Rfam family "Bacterial small subunit ribosomal RNA", at positions 360 to 773 of the family's 1533-position model. The record is from RNAcentral.